GGGGAAUAUUGGUCAAUGGGCGCGAGCCUGAACCAGCCAAGUAGCGUGAAGGAUGACUGCCCUAUGGGUUGUAAACUUCUUUUAUAAGGGAAUAAAGUGAGGCACGUGUGCCUUAUUGUAUGUACCUUAGGAAUAAGCAUCGGCUAACUCCGCGCCAGCAGCCGCGGUAAUACGGAGGAUGCAAGCGUUAUCCGGAUUUAUUGGGUUUAAAGGGAGCGUAGGCGGACUAUUAAGUCAGCUGUGAAAGUUUGCGGCUCAACCGUAAAAUUGCAGUUGAUACUGGCAGUCUUGAGUACAGUAGAGGUGGGCGGAAUUCGUGGUGUAGCGGUGAAAUGCUUAGAUAUCACGAAGAACUCCGAUUGCGAAGGCAGCUCACUGGACUGCAACUGACACUGAUGCUCGAAAGUGUGGGUAUCAAACA
RNAcentral lists this ribosomal RNA (421 nucleotides) under uncultured Bacteroides sp. Its description in RNAcentral is "bacterial SSU rRNA". It matches the Rfam family "Bacterial small subunit ribosomal RNA", at positions 356 to 774 of the family's 1533-position model. Lineage: Bacteria; Pseudomonadati; Bacteroidota; Bacteroidia; Bacteroidales; Bacteroidaceae. The record is from RNAcentral.